AUGUGGGCCCCAUCUGUCGGGCUGAUGUGGCAUGCUUGUGUGGACAAUUUUGCUGAGUUGGAUGAGGUCCCACCUGUCAAUGACUCGAGUGUUUAUCUUUUUCACUUUUUCUUUUUCCAUUUUUCUCAUGGGCAUUACAACAAACAGGCUAUUGGCGUCUCUGUAAGCGGCUCCAUGACCAGGAAGCAAGGCCGUGCGGCAGCUCACCGGGGAGCCGGCUUAUGCAGUCACGACAAGGAGAAGCUCCGGCGGCGCCGCGACCAGGCGAGGCCGCGCGACGGCUCACCUGGGAGCCGGCUGAUGCAGUCGUGA
RNAcentral lists this ribosomal RNA (312 nucleotides) under Triticum aestivum (bread wheat). RNAcentral describes it as "partial small subunit ribosomal RNA". The record is from RNAcentral. Lineage: Eukaryota; Viridiplantae; Streptophyta; Magnoliopsida; Poales; Poaceae.